UACGUAGGGGGCAAGCGUUGUCUGGAUUUAUUGGGCGUAAAGCGCUCGUAGGUGGUUCGUUGCGUCGUGCGUGAAAGUCCCCGGCUCAACUGGGGAGGGUCGUGCGAUACGGGCGGACUGGAGGCCAGUAGGGGGAUGCGGAAUUCCGGGUGUAGUGGUGGAAUGCGUAGAGAUCCGGAGGAACACCAGCGGCGAAGGCGGCAUCCUGGACUGGUCCUGACACUCAGGAGCGAAAGCGUGGGGAGCGAUCCGG
RNAcentral lists this ribosomal RNA (253 nucleotides) under uncultured bacterium. RNAcentral's name for it is "partial 16S ribosomal RNA". It matches the Rfam family "Bacterial small subunit ribosomal RNA", at positions 524 to 776 of the family's 1533-position model. The record is from RNAcentral.